This 304-nucleotide ribosomal RNA is filed under the name uncultured bacterium. RNAcentral describes it as "bacterial SSU rRNA". It matches the Rfam family "Bacterial small subunit ribosomal RNA", at positions 29 to 334 of the family's 1533-position model. The record is from RNAcentral.
AACGAACGCUGGCGGCACGCUUAACACAUGCAAGUCGAACGGGAAACUCCCCUCGGGGAGUGGAGAGUGGCGCACGGGUGAGUAACGCGUAGAUAAUCUACCCUUUAGUCCGGGAUAACCUCCUGAAAAGGAAGCUAAUACCGGUUAACAAUGGGGAUCGACUGGUCCCUAUUUAAAAGCUCCGGCGCUAGGGGAUGAGUCUGCGUUCCAUUAGCUAGUUGGUGGGGUAAUGGCCCACCAAGGCGACGAUGGAUAGCGGGUCUGAGAGGAUGAUCCGCCACACUGGCACUGAGACACGGGCCAG